Molecule: long non-coding RNA, 564 nt
Organism: Poecilia latipinna (sailfin molly)
Lineage: Eukaryota; Metazoa; Chordata; Actinopteri; Cyprinodontiformes; Poeciliidae
Exons: 2
Source: RefSeq, a predicted model, not a curated record
UUUUUUAAGCCCAUAAGCCAAUCCUAACCUGUUCAAGAAAGUAUAAUAGAUGACCUUUACUAUGUGAGCUCUUCAAACUGCCUCUUUCAGCUACUUCCUGUGUUAUGAGGACAUCCUCAACACACAUGCUGACCCAGACUCAGAGAACGAAGACGCCUCCAACGAUAACGUGGUGAGGAUGUGGUCCAUCGGUCAGUGGGUGCAGGUGAAGCCAGAACGGACUACAGAUGACAUAUACGACUGGAUCUUGUGCGAAGUCCCCGAGGCCAGCUAUCGCAGGCUGCUGUUCCUGGGCCGCAACGAGCCGUCCAGCUGCACGGCGACGGACUAUCUGCAGCAGCUGCUGCUGACGUGCCACGCUGACUGAGCUCUGGCCUGCAGGAGGAGCGCACACACACACGUUAGUUAAUGCACGGCAGCAGCUGCUGCUGCUGCCUGGAGAAAACCUGGAGUGUCAGGAUGUAGCUUUGAAGCCAUCAGGCUAAACUGAUACUCGGUUCUGAUCAGAAGUUUCAUCUGAAUAGCAUGACAAUUUUGGGCUUGGAAAUAAAGAUUUGAAAGGAU